CGCGGGAUGGAGCAGUCUGGUAGCUCGUCGGGCUCAUAACCCGAAGGUCGUUGGUUCAAAUCCGGCACCCGCAACCA
RNAcentral lists this transfer RNA (77 nucleotides) under Proteus mirabilis. RNAcentral's name for it is "tRNA-Met". It matches the Rfam family "tRNA". Rfam says of the family: Transfer RNA (tRNA) molecules are approximately 80 nucleotides in length. Their secondary structure includes four short double-helical elements and three loops (D, anti-codon, and T loops). Further hydrogen bonds mediate the characteristic L-shaped molecular structure. tRNAs have two regions of fundamental functional importance: the anti-codon, which is responsible for specific mRNA codon recognition, and the 3' end, to which the tRNAs corresponding amino acid is attached (by aminoacyl-tRNA synthetases). tRNAs cope with the degeneracy of the genetic code in two manners: having more than one tRNA (with a specific anti-codon) for a particular amino acid; and 'wobble' base-pairing, i.e. permitting non-standard base-pairing at the 3rd anti-codon position. The record is from RNAcentral. Lineage: Bacteria; Pseudomonadati; Pseudomonadota; Gammaproteobacteria; Enterobacterales; Morganellaceae.